GUAGAGCGGCGAACGGGUGAGUAACACGUGGACAACCUGCCUGGGAGCGGGGGAUAACCUGGGGAAACUCGGGCUAAUACCGCAUACGCUCGUCGAGCUCCGGCUCGGCGAGGAAAGCUGGCCUCUGCUUGCAAGCUGGCGCUCCCAGAGGGGUCCGCGCCUGAUUAGCUGGUUGGUGAGGUAACGGCUCACCAAGGCGACGAUCAGUAGCCGGCCUGAGAGGGCGAUCGGCCACACUGGAACUGAGACACGGUCCAGACUCCUACGGGAGGCAGCAGUGGGGAAUAUUGGACAAUGGGCGCAAGCCUGAUCCAGCAACGCCGCGUGGAGGACGAAGGCCUUCGGGUCGUAAACUCCUGUCAGGAGGGAAGAAAGGACGCCGGUGAAUAGCCGGUGUCCUUGACGGUACCUCCAGAGGAAGCCCCGGCUAACUCCGUGCCAGCAGCCGCGGUAAUACGGAG
Molecule: ribosomal RNA, 461 nt
Filed under: uncultured bacterium
Lineage: Bacteria
Description: bacterial SSU rRNA
Rfam family: Bacterial small subunit ribosomal RNA
Source: RNAcentral